AUUGAACGCUGGCGGCAUGCUUUACACAUGCAAGUCGAACGGUAACAGGCCGCAAGGUGCUGACGAGUGGCGAACGGGUGAGUAAUGCAUCGGAACGUGCCCAGUCGUGGGGGAUAACUACUCGAAAGAGUAGCUAAUACCGCAUACGAUCUAUGGAUGAAAGCGGGGGACCGUAAGGCCUCGCGCGAUUGGAGCGGCCGAUGUCAGAUUAGGUAGUUGGUGGGGUAAAGGCUCACCAAGCCAACGAUCUGUAGCUGGUCUGAGAGGACGACCAGCCACACUGGGACUGAGACACGGCCCAGACUCCUACGGGAGGCAGCAGUGGGGAAUUUUGGACAAUGGGCGCAAGCCUGAUCCAGCAAUGCCGCGUGCAGGAAGAAGGCCUUCGGGUUUAAACUGCUUUUGUACGGAACGAAACGGCUCUGGUUAAUACCCGGGGCUAAUGACGGUACCGUAAGAAUAAGCACCGGCUAACUACGUG
RNAcentral lists this ribosomal RNA (481 nucleotides) under uncultured bacterium. RNAcentral's name for it is "partial 16S ribosomal RNA". It matches the Rfam family "Bacterial small subunit ribosomal RNA", at positions 30 to 507 of the family's 1533-position model. The record is from RNAcentral.